Molecule: long non-coding RNA, 311 nt
Organism: Ornithodoros turicata
Lineage: Eukaryota; Metazoa; Arthropoda; Arachnida; Ixodida; Argasidae
Exons: 3
Source: RefSeq, a predicted model, not a curated record
AACGAGUUAACUUCGUCCUGACGAACGCGGAGCCUCCGCCACAACGCUGCCAUUAACUGGAUUUUCCCUCACAAAGAACAUGUUGGCUCCUGCCACCAAGAAUUCGACCCGUCAUGGCAGCGGAGCGGCUGGCUUCGAGCUUUGGCCGAAAAACGCACUGCUGAUUUCUUACUCAGUGAUAGCAGACCCUUCAGAGACAAAGAAGCUUCAUCAGGGGCUCCUUUUCUUGCUCCAAUGGUUGCCGGAACCACGUCUCGUCUCAAGUGCUCGUCAUUAGCAGAACCAUGAAGAGCAAUUCAUUAAAACGCUUC